AAGCUGACGGAUCACGCCGCGUGAGUGAUGAAGGUUUUCGGAUCGUAAAACUCUGUUGUUAGGGAAGAACAAUGCAUAGUAACUGAUGGCACCUUGACGGUACCUAACCAGAAAGCCACGGCUAACUACGUGCCAGCAGCCGCGGUAAUACGUAGGUGGCAAGCGUUGUCCGGAAUUAUUGGGCGUAAAGCGCUCGCAGGCGGUUCUUUAAGUCUGAUGUGAAAUCUUACGGCUCAACCGUAAACGUGCAUUGGAAACUGGGGAACUUGAGUGCAGAAGAGGAGAGUGGAAUUCCACGUGUAGCGGUGAAAUGCGUAGAGAUGUGGAGGAACACCAGUGGCGAAGGCGACUCUCUGGUCUGUAACUGACGCUGAGGAGCGAAAGCGUGGGGAGCGAACAGGAUUAGAUACCCUGGUAGUCCACGCCGUAAACGAUGAGUGCUAGGUGUCAGGGGGUUUCCGCCCCUUUAGUGCUGAAGUUAACGCAUCAAGCACUCCGCCUGGGGAGUACGGC
This 513-nucleotide ribosomal RNA is filed under the name uncultured bacterium. Its description in RNAcentral is "bacterial SSU rRNA". It matches the Rfam family "Bacterial small subunit ribosomal RNA", at positions 380 to 886 of the family's 1533-position model. The record is from RNAcentral.